CACCAAUCAAGCCUGGCUUGGUAUUGGGCGUCGGCCGUCGGCCGCGCCUCUAUUUCCCCGGCUGGACGGUUCAAAUCUCAGCGUUGUGAUAAUCAAUUCGCGGAGCAGGAGGACCGGACGUGCCGUUAAACCUCAUUACA
RNAcentral lists this unclassified non-coding RNA (140 nucleotides) under uncultured Capnodiales. Its description in RNAcentral is "sequence contains ITS2". The record is from RNAcentral. Lineage: Eukaryota; Fungi; Ascomycota; Dothideomycetes; Capnodiales.